UUUCCGUAGGUGAACCUGCGGAAGGAUCAUUAAGGUUAUAGUCCCCUGGCCCUCUGGGCUGGGGUCUUCUAUACCACCCUUUGUUUAUUACACCUUUGUUGCUUUGGCAGGCCUGCCCUCGGGCUGCUGGCUCCGGCCGGCGAGCGCCUGCCAGAGGACCUAAACUCUGUUUGUCUAUAAUGUCUGAGUACUAUAUAAUAGUUAAAACUUUCAACAACGGAUCUCUUGGUUUUG
Molecule: unclassified non-coding RNA, 234 nt
Filed under: plant metagenome
Description: partial contains small subunit ribosomal RNA, internal transcribed spacer 1, and 5.8S ribosomal RNA
Source: RNAcentral